RNAcentral lists this ribosomal RNA (379 nucleotides) under uncultured bacterium. RNAcentral's name for it is "bacterial SSU rRNA". It matches the Rfam family "Bacterial small subunit ribosomal RNA", at positions 521 to 896 of the family's 1533-position model. The record is from RNAcentral.
UAAGACGGAGGGGGCAAGCGUUGUUCGGAAUCAUUGGGCGUAAAGGGCUCGUAGGCGGACUAGUAAGUCUGGCGUGAAAUCUCCACCGCUCACCGGGGAGAGGUCGCUGGAUACUGCUAGUCUUGAGUUCGGUAGAGGGUCGUGGAAUUUCGGGUGUAGCGGUGGAAUGCGUAGAUAUCCGAAAGAACACCGGUGGCGAAGGCGGCGACCUGGGCCUGAACUGACGCUGAGGAGCGAAAGCUAGGGGAGCAAACGGGAUUAGAUACCCCGGUAGUCCUAGCUGUAAACGGUGGAUACUAGGUGUGGGGGGUAUUCGACCCCUCCCGUGCCGUAGUCAACACAUUAAGUAUCCCGCCUGGGAAGUACGGCCGCAAGGUUG